This 301-nucleotide ribosomal RNA is filed under the name uncultured bacterium. Its description in RNAcentral is "partial 16S ribosomal RNA". It matches the Rfam family "Bacterial small subunit ribosomal RNA", at positions 509 to 807 of the family's 1533-position model. The record is from RNAcentral.
CAGCCGCCGCGGUAAUACGUAGGUGGCAAGCGUUGUCCGGAUUUAUUGGGCGUAAAGCGAGCGCAGGCGGUUUCUUAAGUCUGAUGUGAAAGCCCCCGGCUCAACCGGGGAGGGUCAUUGGAAACUGGGAGACUUGAGUGCAGAAGAGGAGAGUGGAAUUCCAUGUGUAGCGGUGAAAUGCGUAGAUAUAUGGAGGAACACCAGUGGCGAAGGCGGCUCUCUGGUCUGUAACUGACGCUGAGGCUCGAAAGCGUGGGGAGCGAACAGGAUUAGAUACCCCCGUAGUCCCUGUCUCUUAUAC